This 464-nucleotide ribosomal RNA is filed under the name uncultured bacterium. RNAcentral's name for it is "bacterial SSU rRNA". It matches the Rfam family "Bacterial small subunit ribosomal RNA", at positions 32 to 524 of the family's 1533-position model. The record is from RNAcentral.
AAUCAACGCUGGCGGCGUGCCUAACACAUGCAAGUCGAACGAGAAAGUGGAGCAAUCCAUGAGUAAAGUGGCGCACGGGUGAGUAACACGUGACUAACCUGCCCUUGAGUGGGGAAUAACUAGGAGAAAUCUUAGCUAAUACCGCAUAACACCUACGGGUCAAAGGAGCAAUUCGCUUAAGGAGGGGGUCGCGGCAGAUUAGCUAGUUGGCGGGGUAACGGCCCACCAAGGCGGUGAUCUGUAUCCGGCCUGAGAGGGCGCACGGACACACUGGAACUGAAACACGGUCCAGACUCCUACGGGAGGCAGCAGUGGGGAAUUUUGCGCAAUGGGGGAAACCCUGACGCAGCAACGCCGCGUGGAGGAUGAAGUCCCUUGGGACGUAAACUCCUUUCGAUCGGGACGAUUAUGACGGUACCGGAAGAAGAAGCCCCGGCUAACUUCGUGCCAGCAGCCGCGGUAAU